This is a long non-coding RNA of Peromyscus leucopus (white-footed mouse), 1379 nucleotides long. RefSeq lists it as uncharacterized. The transcript has 2 exons. The record is from RefSeq and is a predicted model, not a curated record. NCBI's taxonomy places the organism in Eukaryota, Metazoa, Chordata, Mammalia, Rodentia, Cricetidae.
UACUGUUGCUCUUGGUUACCCACCAUAGCUAGAUGGUAAGACCCUACUGGUGAAAACACUACUCAGUUUUGAUGGCUAAAAUAGAGAAAGAGCCCUUAACCUACCCAGGGAGUUCUCUUCUGACUAGCUUACCUCACACCAGAGAGUGCCCUGUAGGCUCCUGGGGGAGAAAAGGUAUCAGCGGCCCUACUCAGUCUUGACCCUGCACUUAACACUGACCCAGUGGCAAAGUGUGCUAACUGCUGUGUUAGUGGCAUGGCAGCUGUGGGGUUAACCAGCUGCCUUAUGCUUGGCUAUGAGGCCUGCUCAACAGGAGGCAUUUCAUGACUGGUAUUAUAAACCUGGUCAGAAGCCUGUUACAGGGGAGAUCAUAGGCUCUAGCAAUGUAUUAAUUACCUUUGUAUUGUUGUGAUAAAACGCCAUAACCCAGGCAGUUUAUAAAAGACAGUGUUUAACAGGGCUUCUGGUUUUAGAGGGUUCGAGUUCAUAGGGGCAGAGCAAAGGCAUGGAGGCAGGAAUGACCGAUCCACAGCAGGGGCCAGAGACCACACUGUGAAUGGCACCAGUGACCACGACACACAUCCAGUAACAAGGUCACACCUCUGAAUCCUCGCCAAACAGUUCCACCAACUGGAGACCAAGUUUUUAAACCCAUGAGCCCACGGGGGCAUUCUAAUUCAAACCACCACAAGUGGGUAACCUACUGCUGGUAUUUUGCUACUGGAUCCUGCAUCUUUAUGGCUGUCCUCACAGAUAAGGGCUGCCCUCAGCUUUGGUCAGAGAGGCUUCUUUUUGCAGUGAGCAGCGGCUACCACAGAGACUCAGAACCUGUCAAACUGCUGAAUAAAAGGAACUCGGAAGUGCUCAGCUGUGGGUGGGUCAUCUUGUCAACCUCCCACCAUCCCAGGCUCAGGCAGCUUCAUAGGAGAGUGGGUGGAAGGUAACAGCUGUGUUACCUGCAGAAGACCUGUACAAGAUCAAGCCAGUCAAGAUUCCAGCAUGGGAUGUGGAGAGGUCCCAGAGGAUCCAUUCAAACCAGAGAAGCUCCUGGAAGUUGAGGGAUAUGAACGGAAGGAAAAUCAUUCUUCUUUGGUGAUGUGUCCAUGGAUAGGUUGACUUUACCCCAGUGGAUAGUCAUGUGUACAUAAGGGCAGCACUAAAUGGACUUGGGGGGUUAUAUUACUAACAAUAAAUAAAUAAAUAAAUAAAUAAAUAAGUAAAUAAGUAAAUAAGGCAUGAGCCUAGGAGGGAUUGGGGUGGGUCAUUGCAGGGAGGGCAUUGAAGGAAGAUUACAGUAGAUGGAUAUGAUCAAUAUACACUGCAUAAAUACAUAGAACUUUCAAAGAAUAAAAAGCAUUAUUUGAAACAUGUUUUAUCAA